GUCCACGCUGUAAACGAUGGAUACUCGGUGUUGGCCCGCAAGGGUCGGUGCCUAAGCUAACGCAGUAAGUAUCCCACCUGGGAAGUACGAUCGCAAGGUUGAAACUCAAAGGAAUUGACGGGGCCCGCACAAGCAGUGGAGCAUGUGGUUUAAUUCGAUGCAACGCGAAGAACCUUACCUAGGCUCGAAAGACUGCAUUAUCCUCCGGUGAAAGUCGGAGGCGUCGCAAGACAAUGCAGACAGGUGCUGCAUGGCUGUCGU
This 261-nucleotide ribosomal RNA is filed under the name uncultured bacterium. RNAcentral describes it as "partial 16S ribosomal RNA". It matches the Rfam family "Bacterial small subunit ribosomal RNA", at positions 793 to 1055 of the family's 1533-position model. The record is from RNAcentral.